RNAcentral lists this small RNA (70 nucleotides) under Paenibacillus sp. P22. RNAcentral's name for it is "ctRNA". The record is from RNAcentral. Lineage: Bacteria; Bacillati; Bacillota; Bacilli; Caryophanales; Paenibacillaceae.
UCUUUAUGGAAAACAGCAUGAAAGAGGCGCAUGACCAGGUAAUACCUGGUCAUGCGCCUCUUUUGAAAGA